This 4476-nucleotide long non-coding RNA is filed under the name Vitis vinifera (wine grape). RNAcentral describes it as "long non-coding RNA (VVIN_LNC003695)". The stretch from base 361 to 456 matches the Rfam family "Small nucleolar RNA snoR31/Z110/Z27". The record is from RNAcentral. Lineage: Eukaryota; Viridiplantae; Streptophyta; Magnoliopsida; Vitales; Vitaceae.
CUGCUGGAUUUCGCGGCAGGUUCUACAUUUUGAUUUCAUUCUUUCUCGAUUGGGUUCUUUCGUUGGAUUUAAGUAUUGGGCUUUUGAUGGAAGUUGUUUGAUUCUCCUUUGGAUUUCGUUCGUUUUCGAUUAGAUUUUUUGCUUGAUUUAAAAAUUGGGGGUUUUCGUAUUCGUUAGAUUUUUCUGACUGUAUGGAUGAAUAUGAUGAAAGUUAUGAUGCAUGGUGAUCGCCUCGAUGUGAUGAAGAUGUUUUCGCUACGUUCUUUCUGAUUCAUAUCCUAAAUAUGAAGGAUUUAUUUUUAUGUUUUUGUUUUUGUUUUCAAAAUUUAUGAAUUUGUUUUUAUUUUUGGAAUUAUAUGAAUGAGGAAGAUGAUGAAACCAGAAAAUCUUAGGACACCUUCUGACGCAGUGAAAGAUUGCUGUGUAUGAGAAAGAUUUUCAGUUUCUGAUGCUUAUUAUGAUGAUAAUAAACAAAUUUUUGAACUCUAUUUUUGUUUUAGUAAAAAAAAUUAAUAAUAAUAAAUUUCUUUAAAGCUAAAACUUUUUUUUUUUGGUAAAAUUAAAAUAUUUUAUUCAUUUAUUUAUUUUCAUACUUUUUUAAAAAUGAAUUGAAAAGUCUUUUUUUUUUUUUUUUUUAAUUUAAGAGGAAUUCUUUUUUAAUAAAAUUGAAGAAGAUGAAUCCUUUAUAAUUUUUUUAAUAAAAGUGAAAUAACCAUAUUUAUGAAUUAAAGCUAUUUUUUAAAAUAAGAAAAUUUAUAACUUUUUUUAUAUGUGGUUAUCAAAAUCAUUUUUUUUAUUGAAGCAUUUUUCUCAUAAAAUUAUACAAAUAUUUUUUCCUAAAAAUGGUAGUCCUUUUUUAAUAAUAAAGUUUGGAUUGAAACAUCUUUUAAUAAAUAAAAUUGUUAAAUUUUUUAGUAGAGUUAAGCAAAAGAUUUUUUAGAUAAAAUUGUAAUUUUGUUUUUAAAGGGCAACAUUCUUUUUUAAGUAAAAUUGUAAAAAAAAAUCUCUUUUUUAAAAAAAAGUAAAAUUAUAAUUUUUUUAAUAAAAAUUAAGAAAAAAAUUCUUUGGUUUUUAGAUAAAAUUAUAAUUCCUUUUUAAAGGCAAAAUUCUUUUUUAAGUAAAUUUGUAAAAAUAUUUUGUUUCUUAAAGGCAAAUUUUUUUAUAAGUAAAAUUGUAAAAAAUAAAAUAAAAUAAUGAAAAUUGUAUAAUUUUUUUGAAGGGAAAUUUCUAUUUUUAAGUGAAAUUGUAAAAAUUCUUCUUUUUCUUCUUCUUCUUUUAAGGCAAGAUUUCCAUUUUAAAAGUAAAAUUGUAAAAAAAAAAAAAUUAAUAAAAGUUAAGCAAAUUUUUUUAGAUAGAAUUGUAAAAAUCUUAUUUUAAAGGUGAAAUUCUUUUUUUAGAUAAAAUAAUUGUUGUUAAGGCAAAUUUUUUUUUUUUUUUUAAGUAAAAUUGUAAUAAUUUUUUUUUAAUAAAAGUUAAGCAAAAUUCUUUUUUAUAUGAAAUUAUAAAAAAAUUUAUCUAUUACUUUUUUAAGAAUAAAAUUAUGAAAAUCAUUUUUUAAUAAAGUUGGAUAAAAUGCAUUUUUCUUGUAAAUAAAAUCAGAUUAAAAAUUUUCUCUUUAAAUAAAAUUGCAUUCAAAUAUUUCUUUUAAUGACAAUGAGUAAAAUUUUUGUUUAAAUAAAAAUGCAUGUAAAUAUUGAUCAAAUGAUUUGUUGUAAAUAAAUUAAAACGCCUGGAGCAAAUAACUAAGUUGAAAUGGAAGUUGUUUUAAUGCAAAUAAUUUUUUUUUGAGAUUCCUUGAAAAUGUGUUGUAUUAUUUGAAAUAAUCAAAUCAUUUUUUAAAUAAAUUAAUUUGUAUAAUUCUUCAAAUAUUUAUAUGUAUUUUUUUUCAAUGUUAAUACAAACAAUUUUUCAUUUAAAUAAAUAAUUUUUUUUAUUUAAAAAAAAAAGAGUAAUUUCUUUGAUAUAUUUCUUAUAAAAGAUAUAUUAAUUAUUCAUAAUAUCAAAAUAGCCAAAAAUUUUACAUCCAUAUAGGGAAAAGUGUGUUUUUAUAUACAUAUAUGAAAACAAAAUCAUAAAAUAGGAACCCAAAUAAAUAUAAUUUUAAAUAGUUAUUUAAAAAUAAUUAGUAUUAUAUAUAUAUUUUUUGUUAUAUUAUCUUUGACUAUUACUACAAUCUUUUUAUGAUAUAAGUACUUUCAUGUUAAGUAAUAAAACUUGAAUUGUUUUUAAAGCCUUACUAUUUUUGUAAUUAUUUUUAUUUAUUUUUUUCACAUUUAAAACAAUAUAAUAAAAGGUUAUUUGAUUAAAAGGGUUUUUAAAAAUUCAAAUUUUGAAAUUUGACCUUUUACCUUUUUCCAGGAACAAAAAUACUCUUUUUUUUUGAAAAAAAUAACCAUAUUUUUUUUUUAACUUUUCUAUAAACUAGUAAGUGUACAUGUGUCAAAACACGUGAGAGAAUAUGAAAAAAAUUUCAACAAAAAAAUUAAUAUGUGAAUUUAUUCUUUUAAAACUUGUAUAAAAAUCAAGUAGAGAUUUAAUAUCAAAUAAUUGAAUUAAAUACAAAACCAACUAUUAAAAAAAUUGGGAUUACAUAUAAAUAAGAUUAUGACACCAAAUUACAUGAUAAUAAAAAAAAAAAAAACCAAUUUUCUUAGAUUAAAAAAAUAAAUAUCACCUUGGUACUUGGUUAUAGUAUUUAACAAUUUUAAUUUAAAUACAUUGUUUAUUUUUUUUACACUAAAUUUGUAUUUUUUUGUGUUAAUUAUUUUAUAUAUAGUUAAAUACUUUUUUCCUUUUAUAUAAGAGCUUUUUAAUAAAAAUAAGAACAAAAAUGAAUUAAUUUGAACAAGAAAUUUAUGGAUUAAAAAAAAUAAAAUCUCAAACCUAUAACUUUAUCCAAUAGAACCCAUUGGAAGAGUUGAAGAUAAAAAAUUGAAAAGAAUAGAGAAUAACAAAAUAAGAGAAAAGUUUUCAAACUUUAAAGAUGAAAAAUGAAAUGAUCGCAAAACAUUUGAAAAGUUUUCAAAUUUUUAAUGAUGAAAUUUUAUAUCAUUAAUCAAUAUUAAUAGAGUUUAAAGAGAAUAAAAUUUAUAAUGGAUUAUAUUGGCAGAUUGAAGAGUUGGUUACAUCCAUAAGCUCCCAUUGUAUUCGAAUGUUAUGGGCGUUUAGGUGAAUGCAUUAUAAGACUAGGGUAUAUAUAUUUUUCGAUAGCAAUUGCUUUUAGACGUCAAAUAAUUAAAACUCUAACUAAUUGAAAAAAAAUAAAUUCUCAUUUAAAUUUAUUAUUAAUAUUAAAAAAGAGUAUUUUUGGAAAUAAAAAGUGAAAAACAAUUCGUAUUUUUAUAUAGGUAGUAUAGAUACUUAAAAUCAUAAAAGAUAUUUAUGAAAAAAAAUAAUUUUUAAAAUUUUUUUUUAAAAUGAAAGACAAUGAUUAGAUUUUAGGGAUUUAUUUUCCCUUACAUGAAUGUAUGUGAACAAAGGCAGCCUAGAUCUAGCGUCUGGGUUGUGUCCAGACAGUUGAAGCGUAUACCAGAUUGUCUCUCUGGGAAGUAUACAUCGCUUUGGUGGUAAUCCUCGCAUGCAAUUUUUUUUUUUUUUUUAGUUGUUUCUGAACCUUUUGAUUGAUAUGAUAGUUUGCAUUUUAUGUGGGUUAAGAUGGUGGAAGAUCAGGUUUGAUAGCGCAGUUAGCUUUUUCAAAGUGCACAUCAACUGUUUGAUAAAAGUUCUUCAUAGAACUGGGUGAUUACAUUCUGGACUAAUUUCACACUAGAGCUGACUGAAACAAAAGCAUUUAGGAAAGGAAGUGAAUGAGAGAAAAGAUAUAGGGAAAAAAAUCCAACACAAUAGAAGUAGGAAGAGCUCAUCAACAUUUGAAAUGAAACUUCUGCUGAGCCCAUUACUUGUUAAUAUCUGUAAAGGAUUCAAGUUAAUAAUAAAAUAUGAAAGGAAAUUUUUAUAGGAUCCAUAUUGACAUGUAUUGUUGUAUCUAUCUAAGACCCAAUUCAGCUUAAUUGGCAGCUAUUGGACAUUGUACCAACAAUGCAUUAAGAUAGUAAAGCAUGAAUUUGAACCCACAGAAAUCAAUUGCUCAGAGUGAUACCUGAUUUUCUGGUAAGGAAAAAAUAAUGGAACAGAAAUUCAGCAUCUCCUCAAAGCUUAACUAGGGAGACAUUGUGAAUUUUGAGCAGGAAAAUCUAGUCUAAGAAAUGAUAAUGACAUCAAUGUUAUUUAAAGACUUUUGAGUGCUUUCUGGUUGGAGAAGAAAAAUAAGAAAUGAUGAGGUAGGCCAAUGUCCUAGCCAAAAGAGGGUCUACCAUGUAUUAGAACUUUAGUUGAGCUAGGGGUGUUCCAGAUUAUUUUGACGUCUGAUAGUGACUCAAUGGAAAGCUCCUGCGUUUAGAGGUCUUGUACUCAGUGAUGAGUUCAAGCCUUAGAAGUAUGCAGAAGGAUAGGUCUGGAAUAAGCCUUGUAUGAGUC